GGAAAAGAGCAAUCUGCCCGCAGAGGGACUCGCGUACUAUCAGCUAGUUGGUAGGGUAAAGGCCUACCAAGGCUAUGACGGUUAGCCGGUCUGAGAGGAUGGCCGGCCACACUGGGACUUAGACACGGCCCAGACUCCUACGGGAGGUAGCAAGUGGGAAUUUUGCACAAUGGGCGAAAGCCUGAUGCAGCGACGCCGCGUGAGGGAUGAAGGCCUUCGGGUCGUAAACCUCUGUUGAUGGGGAAGAAUAACUGACGGUACCCAUCGAGGAAGCCUCGGCUAACUCCGUGCCAGCAGCCGCGGCAAGACGGAGGAGGCUAGCGUUGUCCGGAUUGACUGGGCGUAAAGCGCAUGUAGGCGGGGCCUUAAGUCGGUGGUGAAAUAUUCCCGCUCAACGGGAAAACUGCCGCCGAAACUGGGGUUCUUGAGGGCAGGAGGGGAGAGUGGAAUUGCUGGUGUAGCGGUGAAAUGCGUAGAGAUCAGCAAGAACACCCGUGGCGAAGGCGGCUCUCUGGACUGUUCCUGACGCUGAGAUGCGAAAGCCAGGGGAGCGAACGGGAUUAGAUACCCCGGUAGUCCUGGCCGUAAACUAUGGUCACUAGGUGUCGGGAGAUCGACCCUCUCGGCGCCGUAGCUAACGCAUUAAGUGACCCGCCUGGGGAGUACGGCCGCAAGGCUGAAACUCAAAGGAAUUGACGG
This 699-nucleotide ribosomal RNA is filed under the name uncultured bacterium. RNAcentral's name for it is "bacterial SSU rRNA". It matches the Rfam family "Bacterial small subunit ribosomal RNA", at positions 201 to 916 of the family's 1533-position model. The record is from RNAcentral.